UAACAGUUAUUAUGAUACUAUUUGAUAUCAAAUAACUUCUACCUAUUCAAGUCUUUUAAGCUUUUGACGGCAUAUUUCGAAAGCGUUUCUUGAUGACGAACAUUUGAUCAUUUGAUACUUAAUACUUUGUUCCGGAUGAAUCCUCAAUUUUUCUUAGGCUUGUUAUUUUUAAUGUUAUUGCUUCCCAAAACAAAUUCAGCGAGGUUGUUUCCUAAAGCUAGCGGAAAAGAAAACUCAAUAUCAACCACUGCAGCGAGGAGUCAGAAUUUCUUAAUGGUGGAUGGUUGGAAUGCCUCACAUGAGAGACCAUUUUUUGCCGUACUCACUUUUAGACACAAUCUAAACUAUUGUGGAGCUGCAAUUAUUCACAGGUUUUGGAUAAUAACUGCUGCUCAUUGCGUAUUUGCAGCUAAAACCAACGAUAUCGCUGUGGAAAUUGGUCACUUUUUAUUUGAAGCGACGACCAAUCAACGCUACCGUGUGGCGAAAAAAUUUAUUCCGCACAGGUUCAAAAUGCAAAGGGAGUACAGAAAUGACAUUGCACUGUUAAAGUUAUCAACUGAAAUAUCAAAUGGUGAACGUAUUUUACCAUUAUGUUCCAAUUUUCUUCCUCCUUUUGAAACCUUACCUCAUGUUUUGGGAUCAUGCGGAAAAGGGACAACUUCCAGAACACAUUACGAUAUCCCAUAUGUUCUUCAAGAAGCUUUCUUUUAUGAAAGUCUUUUCGAAUCAAACACGCAGCCGCUUCAACUUCAAUUUUGUCGUGAAGAUCAAGUUUGCGUAGAAAGCGCAACCCCGGGAGCCAAUAUUUGUUACUUUGACGAUGGCAACCCUCUCUAUUUAUUUAAACUUUGCAGUGAUACUCCCAAAUGUUUAUAUGGUGUGGCAAGUUAUUCAAGAAGUCGCAAUGACACCCCAGGUCAAUUUUGCAACAACGGAAGCUUCUUUGCAAGUGUUCCCCGAUUUUAUACAUGGAUAACUGUGACAAUGGCGAUUAACUAAAGUGAAAAGAUUGAAAUUGUUUUGGUUUUUUCUACUUCUGCAACAGGACCAGUUGAAUAAAAAUAAAGCGAAAGCAAUUUGAGUAGUCAGAAAUCUGUCACUCUAUCAGGUCGAUACUUCAGAUUUUGUCAUCAAUUUGACAUUUUGUCAUUUAGUUUUUCUGUCUUGAAAAGAGCCUCCG
Long non-coding RNA from Symsagittifera roscoffensis, 1183 nucleotides. RefSeq lists it as uncharacterized. The record is from RefSeq and is a predicted model, not a curated record. The transcript is spliced from 4 exons. NCBI's taxonomy places the organism in Eukaryota, Metazoa, Xenacoelomorpha, Acoela, Convolutidae.